CGGAGGAAAAGAAACCAACAGGGAUUGCCCUAGUAACGGCGAGUGAAGCGGCAACAGCUCAAAUUUGAAAUCUGGCCUUCGGGUCCGAGUUGUAAUUUGUAGAGGAUGCUUUUGGUGCGGUGCCUUCCGAGUUCCCUGGAACGGGACGCCAUAGAGGGUGAGAGCCCCGUCUGGUUGGAUACCAAUCCUCUGUAAAGCUCCUUCGACGAGUCGAGUAGUUUGGGAAUGCUGCUCUAAAUGGGAGGUAUAUGUCUUCUAAAGCUAAAUACCGGCCAGAGACCGAUAGCGCACAAGUAGAGUGAUCGAAAGAUGAAAAGCACUUUGAAAAGAGGGUUAAACAGUACGUGAAAUUGUUGAAAGGGAAGCGCUUGUGACCAGACUUGGGCAUGGUUAAUCAUCCAGCGUUCUCGCUGGUGCACUUGGCCUGCCCAGGCCAGCAUCAGUUCGGUGCGGGGGAUAAAGGCUUCGGGAAUGUGGCUCCUCCGGGAGUGUUAUAGCCCGUUGUGCAAUACCCUGCGCUGGACUGAGGUUCGCGCAUCUGCAUGGAUGCUGGCGUAAUGGUCAUCAGCGACCCGUCUUGAAACACGGACCAAGGAGUCGUCCUCGUAUGCGAGUGUUCGGGUGUUAAACCCCUACGCGUAAUGAAAGUGAACGCAGGUGAGAGCUUCGGCGCAUCAUCGACCGAUCCUGAUGUUCUCGGAUGGAUUUGAGUAAGAGCAUACGGGGCCGGACCCGAAAGAAGGUGAACUAUGCCUGUAUAGGGUGAAGCCAGAGGAAACUCUGGUGGAGGCUCGCAGCGGUUCUGACGUGCAAAUCGAUCGUC
This 823-nucleotide ribosomal RNA is filed under the name Xenoacremonium recifei. RNAcentral's name for it is "eukaryotic LSU rRNA". It matches the Rfam family "Eukaryotic large subunit ribosomal RNA", at positions 51 to 906 of the family's 3401-position model. Lineage: Eukaryota; Fungi; Ascomycota; Sordariomycetes; Hypocreales; Nectriaceae. The record is from RNAcentral.